This is a non-coding RNA of Biomphalaria pfeifferi, 333 nucleotides long. Lineage: Eukaryota; Metazoa; Mollusca; Gastropoda; Planorbidae. The record is from the annotation of a GenBank genome assembly.
CAACUCAAAUCUUACAACACUUUCAUAAAUCCAGUCUUCAAAUGAUUAGCCAUGGCUGCAAAUAAAGAUCUCCAAGAGCUGUAAGAAGCAAAGAACACUUAACAACCAAACAAUUUUGUUGUUUUUAUUGCUGAGAGUUCCAUAAAAAGGCAAAGGUCACAAAUAAGAUAAAAACUCAUGUAGAUAUGCAGGUCUGCUUGGUAUUAUAAUUAAAUAAGAACAACAUAGCUCAAAGACAAAGUUUCACAGAAAUUGUUCACAUAGCAUUUGAUGAGUCUGAGUAAUAUUCAACUAUGAAACUUUUUUUUUUUUUUUUUUUUUUUUGUUACUUUU